This 497-nucleotide ribosomal RNA is filed under the name uncultured bacterium. Its description in RNAcentral is "partial 16S ribosomal RNA". It matches the Rfam family "Bacterial small subunit ribosomal RNA", at positions 28 to 507 of the family's 1533-position model. The record is from RNAcentral.
GAUGAACGCUGGCGGCGUGCCUAAUACAUGCAAGUCGAGCGAACAGACGAGGAGCUUGCUCCUCUGACGUUAGCGGCGGACGGGUGAGUAACACGUGGAUAACCUACCUAUAAGACUGGGAUAACUUCGGGAAACCGGAGCUAAUACCGGAUAAUAUAUUGAACCGCAUGGUUCAAUAGUGAAAGACGGUUUUGCUGUCACUUAUAGAUGGAUCCGCGCCGCAUUAGCUAGUUGGUAAGGUAACGGCUUACCAAGGCAACGAUGCGUAGCCGACCUGAGAGGGUGAUAGGCCACACUGGAACUGAGACACGGUCCAGACUCCUACGGGAGGCAGCAGUAGGGAAUCUGCCGCAAUGGGCGAGAGCCUGACGGAGCAACGCGGCGUGAGUGAUGAAGGUCUUCGGAUCGUAAAACUCUGUUAUUAGGGAAGAACAAAUGUGUAAGUAACUAUGCACGUCUUGACGGUACCGAAUCAGAAAGCCACGGCUAACUACGUG